CCUACGGGGGACAGCAGUGGGGAAUAUUGCACAAUGGUGGAAACCCUGAUGCAGCGACGCCGCGUGAGUGAAGAAGUAAUUCGUUGUGUAAAGCUCUAUCAGCAGGGAGGAAAAUGACGGUACCUGAGUAAGAAGCCCCGGCUAACUACGUUCCAGCAGCCGCGGUAAUACGUAGGGGGCAAGCGUGAUCCGGAUUUACUGGGUGUAAAGGGAGCGUAGACGGCAGUGCAAGUCUGGAGUGAACGGCGGUGGCUCAACCCCCGGACUGCUCUGGAAACUGUACGGCUGGAGUGCAGGAGAGGUAAGUGGAAUUUGUAGUGUAGGAGUGAAAUCCGUAGAUAUUAGAAGGAACACCAAUAGCGUAGGCAGGUUACUGGGACGGUUCUGACACUAAGGCACGAAGGCGUAGGGAGCAAACGGGAUUAGAUACCCGGGUAGUC
Molecule: ribosomal RNA, 440 nt
Filed under: uncultured bacterium
Lineage: Bacteria
Description: partial 16S ribosomal RNA
Rfam family: Bacterial small subunit ribosomal RNA
Source: RNAcentral